This 253-nucleotide ribosomal RNA is filed under the name uncultured prokaryote. Its description in RNAcentral is "partial 16S ribosomal RNA". It matches the Rfam family "Bacterial small subunit ribosomal RNA", at positions 524 to 776 of the family's 1533-position model. The record is from RNAcentral.
UACGUAGGCAGCAAGCGUUGUUCGGAGUUACUGGGCGUAAAGGGUGUGUAGGUGGCCUGUUAAGUUCCGUGUGAAAUCUCCCGGCUCAACCGGGAGGGUGCGCGGAAAACUGGCGGGCUAGAGUACGAAAGAGGAUCGCGGAAUUCCCGGUGUAGAGGUGAAAUUCGUAGAUAUCGGGAGGAACACCGGUGGCGAAGGCGGCGAUCUGGGUCGAUACUGACGCUGAGGUGCGAAAGCGUGGGGAGCAAACAGG